GGCCAGAUAGCUCAAUGGUAGAGCAGUUGACUUUUAAUCAAUUGGUUCCGGGUUCGAGCCCCGGUCUGGCCA
This 72-nucleotide transfer RNA is filed under the name Opitutia bacterium. RNAcentral describes it as "Opitutae bacterium tRNA-Lys". It matches the Rfam family "tRNA". Rfam says of the family: Transfer RNA (tRNA) molecules are approximately 80 nucleotides in length. Their secondary structure includes four short double-helical elements and three loops (D, anti-codon, and T loops). Further hydrogen bonds mediate the characteristic L-shaped molecular structure. tRNAs have two regions of fundamental functional importance: the anti-codon, which is responsible for specific mRNA codon recognition, and the 3' end, to which the tRNAs corresponding amino acid is attached (by aminoacyl-tRNA synthetases). tRNAs cope with the degeneracy of the genetic code in two manners: having more than one tRNA (with a specific anti-codon) for a particular amino acid; and 'wobble' base-pairing, i.e. permitting non-standard base-pairing at the 3rd anti-codon position. RNAcentral also lists the same sequence under 1 other name. Lineage: Bacteria; Pseudomonadati; Verrucomicrobiota; Opitutia. The record is from RNAcentral.